UAUGAAGAACGCAGCGAAAUGCGAUAAGUAAUGUGAAUUGCAGAAUUCAGUGAAUCAUCGAAUCUUUGAACGCACAUUGCGCCCGCCAGUAUUCUGGCGAGCAUGCCUGUUCGAGCGUCAUUUCAACCAUCAAGCCCCAGGCUUGUGUUGGAGCCCUGCGGCUGCCGCAGCCUCCCAAAACCAGUGGCGGGCUCGCUAUCACACCGAGUGCAGUAGUUUACUCUUCGCUCAGGGCGUGUGGCGGGUGCUAGCCGUGAAACCCCCAACUUCUCAAGGUUGACCUCGGAUCAGGUAGGAAUACCCGCUGAACUUAAGCAUAUCAAUAAGCGGAGGA
RNAcentral lists this unclassified non-coding RNA (334 nucleotides) under soil metagenome. RNAcentral's name for it is "partial contains 5.8S ribosomal RNA, internal transcribed spacer 2, and large subunit ribosomal RNA". The stretch from base 2 to 120 matches the Rfam family "5.8S ribosomal RNA", at positions 36 to 154 of the family's 154-position model. The record is from RNAcentral.